This 227-nucleotide ribosomal RNA is filed under the name uncultured bacterium. RNAcentral describes it as "partial 16S ribosomal RNA". It matches the Rfam family "Bacterial small subunit ribosomal RNA", at positions 524 to 750 of the family's 1533-position model. The record is from RNAcentral.
GACGAAGGGGGCUAGCGUUGUUCGGAAUUACUGGGCGUAAAGCGCGUGUAGGCGGUUGUUCAAGUCAGGUGUGAAAGCCUUGAGCUCAACUCAAGAAAUGCACUUGAUACUGGAUGACUAGAGGACCGGAGAGGAUAGUGGAAUUCCCAGUGUAGUGGUGAAAUACGUAGAGAUUGGGAAGAACACCAGUGGCGAAGGCGAAUCUCUGGACAGUUACUGACACUGAG